Molecule: ribosomal RNA, 619 nt
Filed under: Clostridioides difficile
Lineage: Bacteria; Bacillati; Bacillota; Clostridia; Peptostreptococcales; Peptostreptococcaceae
Description: bacterial SSU rRNA
Rfam family: Bacterial small subunit ribosomal RNA
Source: RNAcentral
AAUAUCAAAGGUGAGCCAGUACAGGAUGGACCCGCGUCUGAUUAGCUAGUUGGUAAGGUAACGGCUUACCAAGGCGACGAUCAGUAGCCGACCUGAGAGGGUGAUCGGCCACAUUGGAACUGAGACACGGUCCAAACUCCUACGGGAGGCAGCAGUGGGGAAUAUUGCACAAUGGGCGAAAGCCUGAUGCAGCAACGCCGCGUGAGUGAUGAAGGCCUUCGGGUCGUAAAACUCUGUCCUCAAGGAAGAUAAUGACGGUACGUGAGGAGGAAGCCCCGGCUAACUACGUGCCAGCAGCCGCGGUAAUACGUAGGGGGCUAGCGUUAUCCGGAUUUACUGGGCGUAAAGGGUGCGUAGGCGGUCUUUCAAGUCAGGAGUGAAAGGCUACGGCUCAACCGUAGUAAGCUCUUGAAACUGGGAGACUUGAGUGCAGGAGAGGAGAGUGGAAUUCCUAGUGUAGCGGUGAAAUGCGUAGAUAUUAGGAGGAACACCAGUUGCGAAGGCGGCUCUCUGGACUGUAACUGACGCUGAGGCACGAAAGCGUGGGGAGCAAACAGGAUUAGAUACCCUGGUAGUCCACGCUGUAAACGAUGAGUACUAGGUGUCGGGGGUUACCCCC